Molecule: long non-coding RNA, 1411 nt
Filed under: Marmota monax (woodchuck)
Lineage: Eukaryota; Metazoa; Chordata; Mammalia; Rodentia; Sciuridae
Source: RNAcentral
GCGCAUUUUGUUUUAAAUCAGAGAUUGAACCCAGGGGCGCUUUGCCGCUAAGCCACAUCCUCAGCCCCUUUUAAUAUUUUUUAUUAAAGAGAGGUUCUCGCUGAGUUGCUUAGGGCCUUGCUAAACUGCGAAGUCUGGCUUUGGACUCGUGAUCCUCCUGCCUCAGCCUCCGGAGCUGCUGGGAUUACAGUCGUGCUCACUGCGUGUUUUAAAAACACCUGUAAGUGAAGGCCGUAUGAGCCACAGGGGCGCCUUUGUGGACAACCGCCCCACCAGAGGGUCUCCUGUGCUCUCUCCACGCCAGCGGGACACCUGACCCCACCUGAACCGUAGAGAUCAUUACCAGAAACAGCAGUGAAGCCAGAUUUAAAGUUAGGUAGUCAGUGUAGUUAGGUAAAUCGGGUCUAAUAUCGAGUGAGACCUAAAAUGGAGGCCAUGUUGAGAAUGAAUUCCGGGAAAAGUUGAACAACUCUUGGAAUGUUCAUGAAGUCCGGGAAAAGCCCAAGGCCAGAGCCCAUCCCAAAGAAGUGUUAAUGAACAGCCCCUGCAAACUUGAAGAUGCUGACUCAGAAGUCCUUCCUGCCCAGAUCACUUCUUUGACCCACCUGUGUCCCACCCCUCGGGCCUUCCCACCUACAUUCCAUCACUGAAAGAACUAUAAAAAGGGGGGAAAACCGCACUUCCACGGAUUCCAUCUCUUGGGUCCCCUUCUUCCUCCGGGAGAAGUCUUUUCUGCUGUCCAAUAAACUUCUAAUUUCUACUCUGACCUUACCUAGGCGUGCUUCUCUAGUGUUAUACUUCAACAUUGGAGAAGCAAGGACUCGUCACCUGGUCAACAGCGGUAACAGUAGCACCCCAAAGUAGAUGAGUUUACAACCAUGCUAUGGUUUGAAUGUUUUUCUCUUGUCCCACUAAAAUUCAUUUUGAAAUUUAAUCCCUUUUGGCUCGCCCAGCACCCCUGGGAGGCUGAGGCUGGAGGAUCACAAGUUCCAGGCCAGCCUAGACAGUUUAUUGAGGCUCUAAGCAAUUUAGUGAGACCUGUCUGAAAAUAAAAAAAGACUGAGGAUGUGGGUCAGUGGUUAAGCUCCCCUGGGUUCCAUCCCCGUUACCAAAGGAAAGGGGGGAAAAAACAAGGAGAAGAAAGAAAUGUAAUUCCCACUGUGGUACUAUGUUAGAGUCUGUAAACAAGUCAAAAAUAACACCUGGCAUUUUGCCAGGGGAAUGUUAGAGUUCCUAAACAAGUCUGGAUGGUGCCUGGCAAAAUGCCAGAGGGAGUGGUUUGAGAAGUAACAAAAGCGAGCCAUUAAGUGUGGAGAUUCCUUAUUGGUUGACUGAUGUAUCUAGUUUAUGCUAAUUAGAUAAGCUGUGUGGAAUGUAUAAAUACUGCUCCUGUCCUGCAAUAAAGGGCUCC